This 363-nucleotide ribosomal RNA is filed under the name Triticum aestivum (bread wheat). RNAcentral's name for it is "partial small subunit ribosomal RNA". Lineage: Eukaryota; Viridiplantae; Streptophyta; Magnoliopsida; Poales; Poaceae. The record is from RNAcentral.
AUGGCCACCAUCUUGACGACCAUCUUUGCCGGCACGCUACUGUCGGCGAUGGCCGAGAUACAGGACACCUGCUGGUCGUGGCGGGGCCGGAGCAUGACCACGCUGCUCCAGUUGCUCCUCUGCUUCCCGCCGGUGACCCGAUUGUCGCGGCCCAUCUUCUUAUUGUCCUACGCGCCCUACUACCUCUCACGGUACCUCCACACGGACAGCAGCGUGUUCGCAGUGCUGCGGCACCGGCGCAGGGCGGCCACCCGGGUGUUCGCGCACGCGACGUCCAUUGCCAUGGCGUCGUCAGGGGAGUGUUUGGUGGAGGCCGAUUUCCGAGCGGCACACUGGAGCUUGGCGGGGCGACAUACUGCAUAG